This 433-nucleotide ribosomal RNA is filed under the name uncultured bacterium. RNAcentral describes it as "partial 16S ribosomal RNA". It matches the Rfam family "Bacterial small subunit ribosomal RNA", at positions 29 to 507 of the family's 1533-position model. The record is from RNAcentral.
AACGAACGCUGGCGGCAUGCCUAACACAUGCAAGUCGAACGAGACCUUCGGGUCUAGUGGCGCACGGGUGCGUAACGCGUGGGAACCUGCCCUUAGGUUCGGAAUAACUCCCCGACAGGGGUGCUAAUACCGGAUAAUGUCUUCGGACCAAAGAUUUAUCGCCUUUGGAUGGGCCCGCGUUGGAUUAGCUAGUUGGUAGGGUAAAAGCCUACCAAGGCGACGCUCCAUAGCUGGUCUGAGAGGAUGAUCAGCCACACUGGGACUGAGACACGGCCCAGACUCCUACGGGAGGCAGCAGUGGGGAAUAGUGGACAAUGGGCGAAAGCCUGAUCCAGCAAUGCCGCGUGAGUGAUGAAGGCCUUAGGGUUGUAAAGCUCUUUUACCCGGGAUGAUAAUGACAGUACCGGGAGAAUAAGCUCCGGCUAACUCCGUG